UUUGAGAGCCUCAUGCCCCGGCAGGGAACGAAUGCUGAGCGGCGCGCACCGAGCGACUGGAAUGUCGCCAACACCUAGUUCCCACCGUUUACGGCGUGGUACUACCAGGGUAUCUAAUCCUGUUCGCUCCCCACGCUUUCGCUCCUCAGCGUCAGUAAUGGCCCAGAGAUCCGCCUUCGCCACCGGUGUUCCUCCUGAUAUCUGCGCAUUUCACCGCUACACCAGGAAUUCCGAUCUCCCCUACCACACUCUAGCUAGCCCGUAUCGAAUGCAGACCCGGGGUUAAGCCCCGGGCUUUCACACCCGACGUGACAAGCCGCCUACGAGCUCUUUACGCCCAAUAAUUCCGGACUUACGCUUGCGCCCUACGUAUUACCGCGGCUGCUGGCACGUAGUUAGCCGGCGCUUCUUCUGCAGGUACCGUCACUUGCGCUUCUUCCCUGCUAGAAAGAGGUUUACAACCCGAAGGCCGUCAUCCCUCACGCGGCGUCGCUGCAUCAGGCUUUCGCCCAUUGUGCAAUAUUCCCCACUGCUGCCUCCCGUAGGAGUCUGGGCCGUGUCUCAGUCCCAGUGUGGCCGGUCGCCCUCUCAGGCCGGCUACCCGUCGUUCGCCUUGGUGAGCCAUUACCUCACCAACAAGCUGAUAGGCCGCGGGCUCAUCCUGCACCGCCGGAGCUUCACCACAGACCAUGANGCCGUAAUGUAUCCGGUAUAAACCCCUUUCCCGGCUUGUCCCNAAUUCAGGCAAAUUGCCCCCUGUUACUCCCCGUUCCCCUUANUCCCCCCCAACUGGUCAUCNUCAACUUCCUUUUAACCCCCCCCCACCUUUGUCUAAACCGGAUAACCAAACUGUUUCCC
Molecule: ribosomal RNA, 858 nt
Filed under: Streptomyces sp. BSE 2-3-6
Lineage: Bacteria; Bacillati; Actinomycetota; Actinomycetes; Kitasatosporales; Streptomycetaceae
Description: partial 16S ribosomal RNA
Source: RNAcentral